CAUUAAGAAGCUAUGUAAUAGCACUAGCCUUUUAAGCUAGAGAAAGAGGACACACUAUCCUCCUUAAUGG
This 70-nucleotide transfer RNA is filed under the name Ixobrychus flavicollis (black bittern). RNAcentral's name for it is "Dupetor flavicollis (black bittern) tRNA-Lys". It matches the Rfam family "tRNA". Rfam says of the family: Transfer RNA (tRNA) molecules are approximately 80 nucleotides in length. Their secondary structure includes four short double-helical elements and three loops (D, anti-codon, and T loops). Lineage: Eukaryota; Metazoa; Chordata; Aves; Pelecaniformes; Ardeidae. The record is from RNAcentral.